AUUCUGUUCCUAGUUCUUUUGUCGCUAGUUCUAAUGACAUGACAUGCAUGCGGAAAUUUUGGCCAGAUCUUAGAAACUGAUUUAAUCUGGAAUUCGAUAACUAAAAAAAAUACUUUUGAGGAUGAAUAAAGAGUUGGAAUACUUUGGAACUAAGGUCGAGUAAAAUUCACCUUCAAAUCAUUGUGAAGAUCGAGCUUGAGGAUGUUUAAUCAAUUGAUGUUUGUUGGAAAGUUUGUCACUAAGGGAUGAAAAAAUGUCUUAUGACCACGACACACCAAGAAUACAGACAUGUUCGUCAAUGUUGUGAUCGCGAAAAGAUACCAUGUUUGACGUUCUUGAGGUUGGGAGACCCUUUUUCUGCUACCCAAACACUUUAUAUUCUUUGCUACCCCUUUUGAGCCUGUGUUAUUUUUUUUUGACUACCCUCUUUUUUAAUCAAGUUUAGAGUCAAAAAAAUGAUGAAAAAAAGAAGUUCACGCCCCAAGAGUACAAACUGGGGCAACUCUUAGAAGGCUCAAAAAAAAAGUCAAAGUUCCAUGUCCCUAGAAAAUAAAGGCUUGGGCAAUUUGUUUUGAAAAGAAAAAGAAAAAAAAAAGCAAAAAAAAAAGAAAGAAAAAAAAGAGAAAAAAAAAGAAAGAAAAGAUGAAAAAUAAUUAGGUCAGAUGUUUGAACUACGUUAGACCUGAUUCUUUUAAAAAGGAUAUGUAGGCAGCCUCACGGUUCGGUCCAACCAAAUAAGAAUUCAGAAAAGAGAAAAAAAAAUCCAAAACAAUCCCCUGUAUCUGAAACUUGGGCAAAGAUUUUGUUUUACUUUUGAAAGAAUUGAUUCCAAGUGUUGUAAGUCUACAACCCCCUUAUUUUGAGUCUACGUUGAGCCUUCAUGCCAACCCUUCUGCCCAACCCUAUCCAAAACACUCCCAAAUAAAGACCUCCCGAUAUGCCUUCAAGAACGCCAAGAAAAGCAUGCAAUGAGCAACGGUUGUCACGCGACAUAGAACACUAUCAAGUUGCCCACAUAAGAAAGCAACAGAAAGAAAAAGAAAAGAAAAAUGAGAGAUUCUUAUUAGUGAAAACCCUCACGGUCACAGUAAGACGACGGUAAGUAGAGAUGAAUAAAUGAGAGAGGCUUGUUGGUGAAAAACCCUCGGAGUACCACUAGUCGAUAGUGAGUCGUGAAGCUAAUGCAAAGGAUUGGCACGGAUAGGCCCAACUUCAAAGAUCAUAAGAAUGGUAAAAGGAAAGAUUUGGUCAGUUUGAUAGAUCGGCUGUUAAGUCCAAAAUGCAUGUCAUGAUCAUUAAGGCUAGUUAUUGAAAAAAAAAGAAAAAAAAUUCUUCCUUCUGUCCUUCCGACAGGGGCAUUUCUUGUUAAUACUUGUUUCUUUGCACCAUUGUGUCCUCCACUCUGAGUCAGUCCUUGUCAAAACAAGCAAGACAAGAUUUCAAAACUGCCACCAGCUUUUCAGUUGCACAAAGUGAAUUUGGCCAGCACACUCAGUUAUUACUGUCAACAUGCCUUGAGGAUUCAUGCAAAGGUUUUCCUUAAAGACUCUUGUCAGCCUACUUGGCGCAAGCAAAGAUAACUGGUGAUUCUCUCUGACAGACAAAUUGCUUAAAAGUAGGAAGUCAUUUAAGAUAUCGGAAAAGGUCACCUAAGCAAAGAUCUCCAAUUGGGAUAAGGCUAUUUGAGUUGCAAAUACAAAUGGUACUGGUGUUAAACAAUCAGAGUUGUUGCAGAACAAAGGUCUUUUGAGACCGACUUAAGCUGAUUGAGCAGAAGCCAAGCUGCCCAAGACUCAAGGCCACAAACCGACCACUAUUUUCAAAACUGACAAAUUUUUAUUUGUAUGAAACAAGAAUAAAGCGGUGCAAGGAAAGUGAUUCAAAAAGAGAAAAAAAAUGAAAAAAAAAACAACAACAGAAAAAAAGAGAAGAAAAAGAAAAGACGAGAAGAGCCGACAAAGGGAAGUUUCUCAACUCUUUGUCUUUAUUUGUCUUGCUAAUUAUGCAUAAAAUCUUGCCAUUGAUCUUCGCAUUUUUCCUCCUAGGAUAAAAGUCCUAGUCUGAUGGAUUUUUCUCCCAAUAUCUUAGUCUGAUGAAUCUUUCUCCUAAGAUAACAAAAAUAGACCUAAUCUGAUGAAUCUUCUCCUAGGAUCAAAAUCUUAGUCUGAUGAAUUUUUCUCCUAAGAUAAAAAUACCUAGUCUGAUGAACUUUCCCCUAAGAUCAAAAUCUUAGUCUGAUGAAUUUUUCUCUUAUGAUAGAAAACCUAGUCUGAUGAAUUUUCUACUAGGAUAGAAAUAUUAGUCUGAUGAAUCUUUCUCCUAAGAUAACAAAAAUAGACCUAGUCUGAUGAAUCUUCUCCUAGGAUCAAAAUCUUAGUCUAAUGAAUUUUUCUCCUAAGAUAAAAAUACCUAGUCUGAUGAACUUUCUCCUAGGAUCAAAAUCUUAGUCUGAUGAAUUUUUCUCCUAAGAUAGAAAACGUAGUCUGAUGAAUUUUCUCCUAGUAUCAAAUUCUUAGUCUGAUGAAUCUUUCUCCUAAGAUACCAAAAAAAAGAGAAAAAAGG
RNAcentral lists this long non-coding RNA (2562 nucleotides) under Nicotiana tabacum (common tobacco). Its description in RNAcentral is "long non-coding RNA (NTAB_LNC013275)". Lineage: Eukaryota; Viridiplantae; Streptophyta; Magnoliopsida; Solanales; Solanaceae. The record is from RNAcentral.